RNAcentral lists this long non-coding RNA (530 nucleotides) under Phasianus colchicus (ring-necked pheasant). RNAcentral's name for it is "lncRNA (ENSPCLG00000019946.1)". Lineage: Eukaryota; Metazoa; Chordata; Aves; Galliformes; Phasianidae. The record is from RNAcentral.
CUUGCUUUCCAGAUCUAAUCUAGGAUACCUAGAUUUUGUCAUAUUUAAAGAUCUACUGCAGCUAAGAAAUAGACAAGAUGACCUUUUUACAGGUAAAUGCACUGGAGAGGAACAAUGAGGUCAAAUAAGUGCUAGAAGCAAAAGUGUCUCAGUUGUGAUUCUGCCACUGCUUGGAUUUUCACUGUGAAACUCAAGAAAACAUACUUCUGUAUAAAACUCCAAGAGCCUAUCCUGACCUAGAAUUAUUCAGAAGCGCUGGCGUACUUUCAAGGUACAUCAAAUUAUAAUACAGAUAAGAUGUUCCUAUACCAAAGAACAUUAAGCUUUUGACUGUUCUUCAAGCUACAAAUAAUAAUGUCCCAUGUUAUCUCAUUUUAAAAUGAGUUGUAAUUAAUUAUUUAAGCUUAGAAAUAUUUAUAUAGAGAGACCAUUCUGUGAUUCUAUGAUAAAUAACGCGUGAAAACUUCUGACAUUUUGUGUAGCAAGGGAAAGUGAUACGCAAACGUAUUAGCUAGUUGUGCUUCAUACUG